RNAcentral lists this microRNA precursor (164 nucleotides) under Prunus persica (peach). RNAcentral describes it as "miR164a stem-loop (ppe-MIR164a)". Its record names the gene ppe-MIR164a. It matches the Rfam family "MIR164 microRNA precursor family". The record is from miRBase by way of RNAcentral. Lineage: Eukaryota; Viridiplantae; Streptophyta; Magnoliopsida; Rosales; Rosaceae.
GAUGGAGAAGCAGGGCACGUGCAUUUCUAACUCAUGCGCAUAUACAGAGAUAUAUUAUUACUCUCAAUAGUUCACCUGCCUAUCAAUCAAGUCUCUGAAAGCUUUUCUUUCUAUAUCUCAUAUCCAGUGAUGAGUUAGUUAUUCAUGUGCCCCUCUUCCCCAUC